RNAcentral lists this long non-coding RNA (25725 nucleotides) under Phaseolus vulgaris (common bean). RNAcentral's name for it is "long non-coding RNA (PVUL_LNC002969)". The record is from RNAcentral. Lineage: Eukaryota; Viridiplantae; Streptophyta; Magnoliopsida; Fabales; Fabaceae.
GGAUAGGGUGAUAGGGAAGGUGGGGAAGGUGGGGAUGAAGAUGAUGGAGGUUGGGUGACAGGGGAAUUGGAAUUUGGAGUUGGGGCAUAGGGGUAGGGUGAUUGAGAUGUUGGGGAAGGAGUGUUUGGAGGUGACGGAAUGUAGGGAGGUUGGGAAAUGGGAGAAGGAGUGGUGGAUGGUGGUGUGGAAAUGUAAGAAGGUGGCUGGGAUAUUGGGGAAGGAGUGGUGGAUGGUGGUGUGGAAAUGUAAGGUGGCUGGGAUAUUGGGGAAGGAGUGGUGUUUGGAGGUGAUGGGAUGUAAGGAGGCUGAGAUAUUGGGGAAGGAGUGUUUGGAGGUGAUGGGGUGUAAGGAGGCUGGGAAGUAGGAGAAGGAGUAUUGGGUUGUGGAGGCACAUAAGGUGACUGAGAAAAGGGUGAUGGGGUUAUUGGAACAAAGGGUGGUUGAUGAUGAGGGGAAGGGGUGUUUGGAGGUAGAGGAGCAUGGGGUGGAUGGUUAUUAGGGGAAGGAGCAUAAGUGGGAGAAGGUGUGUUGGGAGGUAUGGGAGCAUAGGGUGGUUGAGCUUUGGGAGGAAAGGGAAGAUUAGUAGGAGGUGAAGGUGCUUCUGGAGGAGUAUAAACAGGGGGAGGAGUUUGAUGAGGUGGAUAAGGAGCUUUUGGAGGAGAAUAUGGAGGAGGCUCUCUCACAGCCAACACCACAAUAAUAAGUUUCUGACCCUUCUCACAAUUAUAAUCUUUUCCACUGAUGAAAUAAAAGGGACCCGAACGAUCAAACUGAAACUGGGAGGCACCAUCCUCAAACUUCUUGAUCGGGUUCUUCUUGUUACAUUUCUCAUAAUCCUCUUUGUUCACCACCAAAACCGAGUCCGAUCCCUUCUUGUACUUAAAAACUAUGAACAGGAAAAAACAUACAAGUUAAAAGCAUUCAUUCAGAAGGCAGAAAAAAAACUGGAAAGCUUUAGAAUGAAAAUGAACUGACCAAGAGUGUCACUGACUUGGAACCUCAUCCUUUCAGCCCAGUGAUUGUAAUUCUCAGAAGGGUACAAAAGCCACCCAUCUUUUCCACCAACGUUGAAGGUGUAUGCCUGAGACCCCGAGAGGAGACUGAAAAGAAACGACAAGAGACAAAAAACACUAAUCCGAAGCUCCAUGUUGCAGAGAGAGAGAGGAGAGAGAGAAGGAAGAGAGGUGUAGAAAGAAGUGAUGAAAUGGAUUGAUAUAAAGAAAGUGUUGUCCUUGGUUACCGUUGUUGGGGUGCUUGUAGUGUAGGACCAGCGAAGCGUGUUAAACGCGGUGGGGGGGUUUACGUGGGAAGACUAAGACUUACAUGUGGGCAAAUGAUAGAGAAAGAGAAAUUAAAGUUUGAGAAAGUUUGUUUAAUAUAAUAAUAUAUAAUAUGCAGCUACGUGCCACACUUCCCAGCACUGCCAUCUAUCACCAUUCGGACUCAUUUUAUUUUGAAAUUUCCAACCUCACCGAUGCUAUAUGCUUUCUACACAUUAAAAUGUUUCAAAAACAAUAAUAAUAGAAAGAAAACCAAAUCACGGAACUCUAUUGUUUCUGGUAUAUCCAUAUGCUACACUAUUCCGAUUCUCAUUUCAGACCCAUUAAUAAUUCUGCUAUUCCAUGCUUAGAUUGUUCCAAAUCAUAUACUGUAUCAAACAGAGACAGGGACAAAUUUUAAUAGGUUCUUGCUGAUUAACAAAUAUUAAAUUGUUCUCUAUCUUUUGUUCACAUAUAACCUGUGAAGAAUAAAUAGACGGAUUUUAAUUUUUUUCAUAAAGAUUAAAUAUGAAAAUGGUGUGUGUCUGCUUUGAGAGAGAUUAGCAACUAUUGGAAGAGCAUUUGGAUCGUCAAUCUACAGUUAUGCCUUUGGUCCACAAUGACUAUAAUAAAAUUUGAUUUAUUUAAGAAAGAGUAAACGAUAAUUAAGUUUCCAAAGAAAUUAAAUAUUAUUUUAAUUUCACUGUAUUUUAUUAUUAAGUUUUACAAAAUUAUUUUAUUAAUAAAAAAUAUCUUAAAGACCAAUUCCACAUGAACUUAGAUAUUAUUUUAUCAUAAAACUACAGUUUUCUGGAUCAAUUUGAAAAAGUAAUAAAAAUUUAUACUUUUUCAAUAAUUUUAGGUAUAAGUAUCUUGUCAUAUCAGUUAGAAAUGUUAGAAAUGGUCAUGAAAAAAAUAUUAUUAAAAAAAUAUAAAAUAUUAAGUUGAACGUUUAAAUAUGUUUUUUUUAUGUAUUUUUACUUAAAAAUAGCUUCUUUUUAGUUUAAAUUUUUAGAAUUUUUAGUUAUUUGUAAUAAGGGGACUAGAAUAAGUUUUUAUUAAUAUUUUUUUAUAUAAUAAUAAGUUAGUAUGAAAAUAUUUUAUCAUUCUGAUACAUAUUAAAAAUCUAUUCUGAUACGUAUUAAAAACCGGUUUAUCAUGUAGAAAAAAAUAUGAUAAAAGAUUAAUUUCAAUAGUUUCUUUAUUAUAAUAGUCUAAAAUUUAGAAUAGAAAAUAAAAAUUUCUGUGAAAUAAAAGUACAUUUAAUCCUUAAAUUUAUAAAGUUUUUAAUUAAUAAAAUAUAAUUUUAAAAUUAGUUUUUAUUAUUUAAAAUUAAAGGCAAAAUUAGUCAUUUACUAGUUAAGAAAUAAACCUCUAGUCGUCAUCCUUUGUUUUUUUUUUAGUCAAAACGUAUGCUUUGUUUUGCUUUUUCAUAGACUGUUUGGUACGUGAAAUUGACUACCCAGUUAGGAGUUAAUCAUCACAUCCACUUUACAUCAUGUUUUGCUUUUAUUAACAUUUUUAUUAAGUGAUUAGGUUUUUUCAUUAGAUUAGAUGACAAGUGUAAAGUAUUUAAAAUUUGUAUGAAUAACUAAUUUCUAUCAUUUACCCACUUUUAGAAUUUUAGUAGAAUAUACAAGUAUUACUUAAUAAAAAUAUUUUAUAUUAAAAAAAAUCUAUAGUUUUAAAAAUUGGAUUCCUUUUAUAAGAAAACAUUAAAGCCAAACACACCUUAAUUAUUACAUUUUGUGGAUGAAUGUUGACCUAUUUAAAAUUUGUAUGAAUAACUAAUUUCUAUCAUUUACCCACUUUUAGAAUUUUAGUAGAAUAUACGAGUAUUACUUAAUAAAAUUAUUUUAUAUUAAAAAAAAUUCUACAGUUUUAAAAAUUGGAUUCCUUUUAUAAGAAAACAUUAAAGCCAAACACACCUAAUUAUUUCAUUUUGUGGAUGAAUGUUGACCUAUUUAAAAUUUGUAUUAAUAACUAAUUUCUAUCAUAUACCCACUUUUAGAAUUUUAGUAGAAUAUACGAGUAUUACUUACUUAAACUAUUUUAUAUUAAAAAAAAGUCUAUAGUUUUAAAAAUUGAAUUUCUUUUAUAAGAAAACAUUAAAGCCAAACACACCUUAAUUAUUACAUUGUGUGGAUAAAUGUUGACCUAUUUAAAAUUUGUAUUAAUAACUAAUUUCUAUCAUAUACCCACUUUUAGAAUUUUAGCAGAAUAUGCGAGUAUUACUUAAUUAAAUUAUUUUAUAUUAAAAAAUAGUUAUAGUUUUAAAAAUUGGAUUCCUUUUAUAAGAAAAUAUUAAAGCCAAACUCACCUUAAUUAUUACAUUUUGUGGAUGAUUGUUGACCUAGAGAAAGCCAUUAGAAUCCCAUCUAAUCUUGUACUUGGAAUUUAUUGGUGAAGAGUAGAAAUUUCCGAUAUCUGAAUAACAUUAUUGUUUGGUACAAUAACGUUACCAUAUUUUAAAUUAGUAUAUAUGAUGGGACAUGAACACUUAUUUCCUCUAAAAUCUUUAUUUUAAAAAAUCUCCAAGUAAAUUACUAAAAUGACAUCAUUUUUCAUUGAAACUCAAAUAUGCCUUUCAAAUAUCAUUCACAUUUUGUUCCUAUCUUAAAUAAUCUUUUCCAUUUAUACAAUGUGUGAUAUCACUCACUUAUCUUAUUUAAUUAACAUCUAGGUACUUAAUAGUAUACUACUAAUUAAAACGCGUCACUUUACCGUUAGUAUUUAAUAUUAGGUUAUAGGCAUGCUAAGAAUGAUUAUAAGUGUAUUAUUAAUAUUAACUCUCCCUCCCUAAUAUGGCUGUAUCAUUUCUUCCUCUCAUUGAUUGUUUAUUCAAUAUCAAUCUUGUACUCUCUUUUCUUAUAUUUUUUAGUAAAAAUAAACAUAAAACAUUUAUUUUAAUUGUCACAAAUUUGUGUAUUUUAAAAUGAGUUAUAUAGUAAUGCAUUCACAUUAUACAAUAAUUUUAUUUUAUCAUAUAAUAUUAAAUAAAUAAUAACUCUUAAUAAUUUCUAAAAUAGAUAUUGAUAAUUUCAUUUUAUCAUAAAAUGGUUGUUUAUAGUGAUUUACUAUUCACAGACAACCGAGAAUAUGGGGUAAAAUGGGAGAAUGAAGGGAAGGUCAAGAAAAAUUAGUUAAUGUGAUUUUUUCAAUUUUACCAUUUUUUUAUAUAUUAAUUAUUACAUAAAUUUAAUUAACAUUAAUAUUUUAAUAAAAUAAUAAUAAUUAAUAAAAUUUGAUGGAGGUGUGCCUUCAUCCGUAGCUUUUCUUUGGUGGAAUUGGCGGAAACAUUCAUGGAAGAAGACGAGCAAGGAACUCAUGAAGAGUGGUGGACUCCUUGAAGGUGCAUGCUAGGUGUGGAGAGUGAGUGGUGAGGCCAUCUCACUUGGCAAAGAUGAAGAAUGAAGAUUAAAAUGUCUAUCCUAGAGAGGUAGGAGACAAGAAGCAAAAUUGGCACAAUUUUGGCAGCAAUUUGCUCGAGAAUAAUCUUGCUAUUUCAUGACCCAAACACCUCCUUAUAUAGGAUUGGAGGGUCAGAAUUGGAAGAGUCAAAUACAAAUGAAAUACAAACUAAAUAAAAUGUGAUGCAUUUGGCGCCUAAUUUGAGACUUAGCACAUGGAGCAUGUGAUGGAAAGCUUUUAAGCACAUGGAACAUGUGCUUUCUUCUCCAAGGCUUAGUCAUAACCGACCUUGGUUAAUUUAGGUGUUCAAAGAACCCUAAUUUAACCAAGGUUGGUUUUUAGGUACCAAAUUUCACCUAAAAAGAAAUUACAAGUAAAAUUUCCUAUUUUACUUUAACAAAAUUAAAUCCUACUUCUUACACUAGAGUUUAUGGCAUUUUAAACACGUACAAGAAGGUUUCUCUGCCAUCAGUAGCAGUAUUUCAAUCAUUUUGAUCCUUCUUGGCCAUGACUCUAGUGGUAGGCCCAAAUCUUCUCUUUGUUGGGCUUGCACUUGGACUUGUCCUUGGGCCUCUUCCAUCAUCCCCUCCCUCUUGAAAAGGAUUUGUCCUCAAAUCCAAUGCUUCUAUUUCUUCUUCUUCAUUACUUCCUACAAAAGGCAUUAAGUCCACAACAUUAAAAGUAUGAUGAACUCCAUAUUCUUUUGGUAAAUCAAGAAUAUAUGCAUUGUUGUUGAUUCUUUUGAGGACUUGGAAGGGUUCGUCACCUUGGGGACUAAGUUUGGACUUCCUCUUAGUUGGAAAUCUAUCUUUCCUAAGAUGAAACCAAAUUAAAUCUCCUUCUUCAAAAAUUAUCUCUCUCUUCCCCUUAUUGUUAUGUUUUGUAUAUUUCUCAGUUUGCUGAUGUAUUUGUUCUUUAACCCUCUCAUGCAUUUUCUUAACAAAUUCAGCUUUUAUUACUCAUUCCUUAUGCACAAAUUCUUGUGGAUUAGGAAGGGGCAACAAAUCUAAAGGAGUAAGAGGAUUAAAUCCAUAAACAACCUCAAAUGGAGAAAUAUUAGUAGUUUUAUUAACUACUCUAUUGUAUGCAAACUCAAUAUGAGAAAGAUACUCAUCCCAAGAUUUAUGGUUGCCUUUCAUGACUGCCCUAAGCAUAGUACCAAGAGAUCGAUUUACAACUUCGGUUUGUCCAUCCGUUUGAGGAUGACAAGAAGUUGAAAAUUCAAUUUGGUUUCAAGUCUUGCCCAAAGGGUUCUCCAAAAAUGGCUUAUAAAUUUUGGAUAUCUAUCGGAGACUAUGCUUCUAGGUAGUCCAUGAAGUCUUACCACAUCUCUAAAGAAAAGUCUAGAGAUAUUAUUUGCAUCAUCCACUUUGUGACAUGGUAUAAAAUGUGCCAUUUUACUAAAACGAUCCACAACCACAAAAAUGGAAUCAGAACCUCUUGCAGUCUUAGGAAGUCCAAGAAUAAAAUCCAUACUAAUGUCUUCCCAUGGAGCACUUGCAAAAGGUAAAGGAGUAUAGAGUCCAUGAGGAAUUGUUUUAGACUUAUCUUUUAAACAUGAUAUACAUCUAAAACAAUGUCUUUGGACGUCUCUUAUCAUAUGUGGCCAAAAGAAUUUUCCUUUUAAAAGCUCUAGAGUCUUAUCAACUCCAAAAUGGCCCAUGAGACCUCCUUCAUGAGAUUCUUUUACAAGAAGUUUUCUAUGUGUUCCUUGAGGUAUACAAAGUUUUCCUUCUUUAAAAAGAUACCCCUCAGACACAAAAUCCUCCUUUUUCUCUAUGUUCUCAUUUAACAAAGAUGGAUGUAAAAUCAUGAUCUUCUUUGUAGAGUUCAAUUAUGUUUUCAAAUCCAAGAAUUUGGGCUCCAAGUUUUGAAAACAGGGCAUGUCUCCUUGAGAGAGCAUCGACCAUAAUGUUUGUACUACCCUUCUUGUAUUUGAUAACAUAAGGAAAUUGUUCAAGAAGUUUCAUCCAUUUUGCAUGUCGUUUGUUCAACUUAUGUUGACCUUUCAAAUAUUUUAAAGGCUCAUGAUCACUAUGAAUGACAAAUUCUUUAGAGACUAGAUAGUGCUCCCAAGUCUUUAAGGUCCUCACAAGUGCAUAAAGCUCUUUAUCAUAGGUGGGGUAGUUGAGAGUGGCUCCAUGAAUUUUUUCGCUAAAGUAAGCAAUUGGAUGUCCACCUUGCAACAACACGACACCUAUGCCUACUCCCGAUGCAUCACACUCUAGCUCAAAAGUUUUUGCAAAAUUUGGUAAAGAUAGAAUGGGUGCAUUAGUGAGUUGAGCUUUUAGCCUCUUGAAGGCUUGAUCUUGCUUCUCGGUCGAACAAAAUGGAGUGUCUUUCUUCACUAACUCAUUGAGUGGCUGAUGUAACCCAAAAAUACAUAAAGAUGACCAAGGAUGUUAUACUUGAAGGGUCAUCUAAAUAAGGAAAUAAGAACUUCAUCAAUAGAAGAAAUGGACGAGGCCCAAAGCAUUUAAAGUUCUUCUUAUUGUCUUCUCAAAAGAUGAGGCCCAAGCCCAAUUAAUAUCUUUUGUAAUAUUUUUAGAAUAGUUUCAAGAUAGAACAUUAAAAGGGAAGUAAUAGGAAAAGUCACUUUUCUAGAAUGAGGAAGUGACUUGAAAAAGGGUGGCAUUUACCUUGUCUUUUCAUAUGCCUUGCCUUUUCAUUUACAAGUGACUCUUCAUGUAUUUUUACCUUUUCAUGACCGGUUCUCUAUGCCUAUAUAAAGAGGAGCCUUGCUUUUGUAAACACAAGUUGAAUCUUUUAGUAAAGAAAGUAUACCAAAUUGGUGUGAGAGAGUUUGUGAGACUAGUUCUCCUCUCUUCUUCCUAGUCUUAUCUUGGGAGAUUCUUGGAACUCUCAAGUGGCGGCAUCCACUCAUCUUGAAGCUUCUCCACCCUUCAAGUGGCGUGAACAUUCCAAGGGUCAUCAACCACAUAAGUUUCUUCUACCUUUUCAUGUUCUUCUUCCAUUUCCAUGUCAAUCAAAACUAUAAAACAUGUGUCUUUGUUGUUCUUGAUGUUUCAAGCAGUAGAAAUGUGUUAGGUUCUGCUUUUAAUUGGUUCAUUGUAAUUUCUCGCUGUUGUAUUCGGUUUAUAUGUGCUUAAUUGAUAUUUCAAUCGGUGCAUUUGUCUCCUUUUCACAAAUCAAUCGGUUCAUGUUCUUCUUAUGGGUUUCUAUGCGGUUUUGGCUUGGUUUUUGUGUUCUUGAAUGAUUAUAGAAUCUUGAUCCAAUUCUUGAAAAUGUCUUUUCAUAUACCAACUCAUAUCAGUGGUGAAGCUAGACUUGAGAAGUUAGGCACAAAUCUUCUAUAAAAGCUUGCUAAUCCAUGAAAACUUCUAACUUCCCCUACAUUUUGUGGAAUUGGCCAUUCUUGGAUGGCUUUGAUUUUUUCGGGGUCAACAUGUACCCCAUUUUUGUUAACUAUAAAUCCUAAAAAUACUACACUAUCAACACAAAAAGUACAUUUAUCUCUAUUAGCAAACAAACUAUUAUUCUUAAGCACUAGGAGAACUUCCCUAAAGCGACUUAGGUGAGAUUCUAAACUUUUGCUAUAUACUAAAAUAUCAUCAAACUAAACUACUACAUAUUUACCUACACAAUCCCUUAAGACAUGAUUCAUUAGCCUCAUGAGAGUGCUAGGAGCAUUAGUGAGCUCAAAAGGCAUCACUAACCAUUCAUAUAGUCCAAAUUUGGUUUUAAAAGCGAUUUCCCACUCAUCACCUUCUUUAAUUCUAAUUUGGUGAUAUCCACUUCUAAGAUCAAUUUUAGAAAAUAUGAUGGACCCAUGCAAUUCAUCAAGCAUGUCAUCUAGUCUUGGAAUUGGAUGCCUAUACUUGAUGGUGAUGUUAUUGAUGGCUCUACAAUCACAACACAUUCUCCACUUGCCAUCUUUUUUGGGCACCAACAAGACAGGUACAACACAAGGGCUUAGGAUCUUUUGAACCCAACCCUUAUCCAACAAAUCAUGCACUUGUGAUUCUGUCUCCUUAGUUUCUUCAGAAUUAGUUCUAUAGGCUGGUCUAUUUGGUAGACUAGCUCCUGGAACUAAAUUUAUUUGAUGUUCAAUUCCUCUAAAAGGGGGAAGUCCACUAGAGCCUUCCUUAGAGAAUAUGUCAUCAAAGUCUUUUAAAAGAUCUUUUACUUGAGGAGGUAGAACACAUGUCUCAGUAAGCGUAGCAAUGCAGGUAAGUGUUCCUUUACAAAGUAGGAGGUUUGAAGGUUCUUCAAAAAGAAGUAUUUUUUCGAUCUUAUUUUCAAAUUUUUCUUCUUCUUUCUGAAUGACCUUGUGGGAAGGAACACUCUUUUCCCAUGCCUCUUUUUCCCUAAGGGUUUUUUCUUGGUUUUUUACUCUAUUUUUCUCUUCCUCUCUUUGUUUUCUCAUUUGUAGUUGGUCCUUUAUCACUUGGGAAAAUGAUAAGGGAUAAAGUACAAACUUCUUUUCUUUGUGAGUGAAAGUAAUCUCAUUGGUAAGACCAUUGUGGUUUUCUUAUCAAAUUGCCAAGGUCUUCCCAACAAAAUAUGACAAGCUUUCAUGGGCACUACAUCACACAAAACUUUAUCCUUAUAGUUCCCCACAGAAAACUCGACUUUCACUUGUUGAUCUACAGUUAAAUCCCCAUCUUCAUUGAUCCAUUGAAGUUUGUAAGGUUUUGGAUGAGGGAUUAACUGUAGAUUCAACUUUUCAACCAUCCUAGCGCUACAACAAUUGCAGCAAGAACCACUAUCCACAAUGAGAGAGCACACAUUUUCAAAAACUUUACACCUUGUGUGAAAUAUGUUCUCCCUUUGUGUCUCUUGGCUCAUACUAGGUUGAUUGUUGAGGGUUCUACGGAUCAUCAUUAAUUCACCCUCACAUGGAUAAGCCCCUUCAUUAUCUUUUUUUUCUUCUUCCCCACUAGCUUCAUUACUUUAGCUGCUAUAUACUGUUGGGUCUAUUAGUGUCUAAGUUCAAGAGGGGAGGGGUGAAUUGAGAUUAUAAAAUUUUCGCAAGACCACACAAUUUUUCAGUAUUCCAGAGGCAAAAAGAACAGAUUGUUUUUACAUGAAACAGAUUGAUUCUUCAGAGCAGUCUUGGCACAAUUUGAAUUUGUUCAAUGUAAAAUUGUGAUCAACAGAGAAUUAUAACAAAAUCAGAUCAGUUUAAUAUUGUGAGGAUGAAGGAUACAGUUAUGCUUAGAAAUCAAGCAAAAUUACUCAACACAAGGUUUUGAGAGGAAUGAUCCUUUCUCAGGUUUUAAUGAAUGGACAGUUUGUUCACAAAUCACUUAAACCAUUAUAUACAGCAGCCUUGUUUAUGAUCAGAGAACUUUAACAAAUCAGGAAGAACAAUUUUCACUUAAACCCAGAAUUAACAGAUUCAAUUUCAAAAGAACAGAUUUAGUUCUUGACAGAAUUAAACAAAAAAAAAAACAGAAAUGAGUGCAGGGACGAGAAGACAAGGCACACAAGUUUUUAUACUGGUUCACUCAUACAGAGCUACAUCCAGUCUCACCUUACCCCAAGGUGGAAUUCACUAAAAAUAGUACCAAUCACUUACAAACACAGCAGUUCUUGAACACUACAAGAACAACACACACAAUGCUGAAAAACCCUAUUUCAGCACACCUUGCACUCCAAGAAACCCUAUCAAGGAGUGACUAACACUUACACCUUUACAAAACAGAAUAAAGGAAAGAUUACACCUGAAAAGAAGAUGCAAGAACCCAAAACCAGUAGUUCAAUUUGCUGCAGAACUGCACCAACACCUUCACCAAGAUCAAAGGUUUCCUAGAACAAGCACACUUGAAAAUCUCUUUGGAAAACCUUUCAAAAAUCUUUCAAUCCUUCUUCUCACAUGGAAAGUGUUUGAUCUCUGUCAAAAACGUAAUUGCUCAGCCCUACUUUCAUGUGAGAGAGACUUUUCUUUAUAUAGAAAACAGUUUCUAACUUCUUUUCAAAAAAAUAGUUGAAAAGCAGUUAUGAAAACAACAGAUUCAUUUUUGAACUUAACAGAUUUAUUUUGUGAAAACCGCCAACUCAACUAACUGAAAUAACUGUCUGAGUUGUAUCUUUGGUGCCCUAACUAACUUGUGAAAAACCUUUCAACUCACCAAAGAAUAAACCUGUUCUUUCUCAGUGAAACAGAUUAAAAUAUAGCAAACAGGCCAGCUCAACUUUAACUGAAAUAACUGUCUAAGCUUUACCUGUGGUGCCCUAACAGAAUUUUAGAAAAGCCUUUUAACAGAGAAGAAAUAAACAGAUUCUUUCUCCAUAAAACAGAUUUAUUUGUGUACUGUUUUAAAGCUGUUAAAAACAUUUUAAAAAGCUUUUCAAAAACCAUUUAACCACAUCAUGUGCUUGAUCUAGACUUGGUUAGGCAUCUAGGAUGGGUUAUUCAGCAAAAGGCAACCUUACACAAUUACAAGCCUAAUUAUAACCGAAUCUAAAACCUAUUACAAUCUUCAAAGCACUCAAGUUAUUUUCUUCAUCAAACACACAUCAAGCCUUGGUAGGGAAGAAGCUUCCUCCAACUUCAACAUAUACAUCCUUACCCCUUUAAGAAUAUAGUUCUCCUAUUUUGGCAUUGGGAAGCUAUAUGACCUCUUCCAAAGCAUUUAAAACAUUUUUUUAUCUCGGCUACGGGAUUGUGGGGUUAUCACUUCUUUAUCUAUAUUUUUGGGAGUUUCCUUAGAUCUUUCCUUUGAAGUUUCCUCCCUUUUAUACUCUCUCUUGGGAUAGGAGUUAGAAUAUGAACCUUCCCUACGACUUGAAGCUUUUCUUAAGUUUUGUUGUUCAACUUUGAUACAGAGUUGAAUUAAAUCAUUCAAGUGUCUAUAUGGUAAAAGUUAAACUCUAUCUCUAAUCUCAAGAUUGAGUCCACUCAAAAACCUUGCUAUGGUAGUGGUUUUAGACUCCCUAAUUGAGGCUCUCAUCAUGUAUAAUUCCAUUGUUUUGCCUAUAUUCCUCUACACUCAUAGUCUUUUGUUGGAGUCUUUGGAGUUUGUCCAUUAACUCCCUAUUAUAAUAGGAGGGAAUAUGGCGGCGUCUUAAGGCUCGUUUUAGUUAGUGAUCUCGGCUCAGCUAGUCCUUUCUUUCGUGAUGAACUGUUGGCUCCCCUAAGAUCAUUCUAAUACUCUAUGGGAGGGUUCUUAUGAAGGUGCCUAUCUUGCUCAAGGGCAGUCCACCAAUACAUAGCAUUACCUUGAAAGCUUAGGGUGGCUAGGGGUACUUUUCGUUCCUCACUCACUCUAUGGGAAACAAACAAUUAUUCUACCUUCAUUUCCCAAUUUAAGUAAGUUUCUACGUUUUCCAUGGAAAUAAGGUAGAUCUACCCUAACCUCCUUUUCUUGUCUUUCUCUUCUAGCUCUCCUAGGGGGUGGUUGAUAAUAGUAAUUAAUCUAAUAUUUUGUUCCCCAAAAGAUUCAUCUCCCCUAGAGCUAGAUGCAUGAGAACUUUUUUUUGAUUUAUUGUUUUCAUCCCUUUCUUUAGCCAAUUUCAAUUCUUUGAGUUGGGACUCAUUUUGCAAUUGUUUAUAUGAAAGUGAUUGAAAGUCUUGUGCUAAUUGUUUCAAAAGAGUUUUAAUAGACUCUCUAUCACUUUCACUAGAAUGAUAAGAAUGAGAAGUCAUGGUUAAAGUUAUGUGUUAAAAGCAAUUUACUAAAAGAAAUAUAGGUGGAGUAAUGUAGGUAGAUUCCCAAGAAAGGGAGGUGGAUCACUUAAGUACCAAGCCUUUCCUUGCCAGAUUCUAUCCUUCAAGACUUUCACAAACCUUUUUCUAAGUAAUUCACUUAGAACACAAUCAAGAAUGAAAACAAUUUUAAGAAAAACAAUGCAAAGCAAUUAAACAAAGCAAAACAAUUAAACAAAACAAAGUAAUUAGAUAAUACAAUUUGAAAAGAAUUGCUAUCUAGUAAGAUUUAAACUAGGCGUAUCCUAAGGUGAGGCUUCUAGGCACUUAGAACCAUUGAAGACACAUUCACCGUCUAUUACGCAAUACAAAGCAAUUAAACACUUAAUAGAAAAAUUUCUAUCUAGAAAGCUUGUAAACUAGACGUUUCCUAGGGCGAGGCUUCUUGGCACUUUGAACCUUUGAAGACACUCUCACCAUAUAAUACGCAAUUAGUCCACCAAUUAUUCAAGAUUUUGCAAGUUACAACUCAAAGAAAAUACAAAGCAAAUUGAAUUGACAAAAAUUUAGAAAUUUUUAUUCUAUGCAAUUCUUCUUUUCUUUUUGUCAUUCCUUCUUUGUGUAAGUGUUUAAACUCACUUGUUGCUGCUCUCUUGCUCAACCUCUCAAGGAUAUUUAACUUUAAAAAUUCAAAACAGCACCUACUAAGUGAUAAAGCUCUCACAAAAAAUGUUAGCUCCAAACUUAACAAGCACCUUUGAAUGAUUUAUCCACCAAGAAAUGAGGUUAACAAAAGUUAAAGCAACAAAAAUUCAAUUUGAAAUUGGAAAACAACAAAGGGAGUUGAUGUAUGACAACUUGAAAGAGUAAUUGAAAAAAUAUUGACAAGCAAACAAAAUAAGGUACUCAACAAAUGGAUAUCACACAAAUUGAACCUAGAGAAUGACACUAGAAUUGGAUUAACAAAAAUCAAAACAAUACUACAUAAUAUUAAGGUGUCAAAAAGCGUGACUUACUUGAUUUAUGUUGAGCAAAUUAUUUCAAAUUUGAAUUUGAAUUUUUAACCACAAAUAGAUCAAGAUAUUAACUAACUUUUGGCGUUGGAAUCACCAAUUAAUUGUGAUAAAAUUUUCAAAUAUGAUGAUGCUUCACCAUUUUUUUUUCGCGCCAAAAUUGCACACUGAUUGUAUUUGAUUUAUCAUUUUUUUUUCUAUUUUGAAUUUCGCUUCACUUUUUUUUUCACUUUUUUUCUAACACUUCAAACUAUUGAGAUCCAUAAUUUCAUAAUUUUUCUCCAACGAAUUUUAAUUUCAUAAACAAAAACAGCCAGCACAGAAUAAAAAACAGAGGAAGCCUAAUUCUGGAAUUAAAAACAGUUUUAAGAAACUUCAAAAACACAAUAGAAUUAAUGUAUAAUAAGUCGUGUGGAUCUAGCACACAAAUAUGAACUCAAAUCUUAAAAUGCACCAAAGGAUCAAACAAAAAAUUAUAAAUAUGGACUCAAAAAGAAAAUCAAUGAACCAAAAUUAUGAAGAAAAGUACUACAUAAAAGUGUUGACAAUUUAGGAGAAACAUGACUUGACAAAACAUCUAUGGAUUCAAAAAUCAAAAUGACUCAAACACAACAAUAUGAACCGAUUAAAAUUGCAAGAAAGACUCAAAUCUAGCAAAAUUAAAACAGCAACACCAAAACUCAAAGGAAUCCUACACAAAAUUGAAAUUAGAAGCUCAAGAACAAUUUGAACACAUUGCACUGAUUGGAUUUAUCCAAACAGCAUCUAAAACAGUUAAAAUGCAAAAACAACAAGACAAUCAAGGAUACAAGAUGAACAACACGAAAUUAUAAAGAACAACACAAAAUUAAAAUGAGAAGAAGAAGACACAUUUAGCUCUUGAAGAACCUAGGCUCAUGAUACCACUUGAUGGAGGUGUGCCUUCAUCCGUAGCUUUUCUUUACUGGAAUUGGCGGAAGCAUUCAUGGAAGAAGACGAGCAAGGAACUCAUGAAGAAUGGUGGACUCCUUGAAGGUGCAUGCUAAGUGUGGAGAGUGAGUGGUGAGGCUAUCUCACUUGGCAAAGAUGAAGAAUGAAGAUUAAAAUGUCUAUCCUAGAGAGGUAGGAGACAAGGAGCAAAAUUGGCACAAUUUUGGCAGCAAUUUGCUCGAGAAUAAUCUUGCUAUUUCAUGACCCAAGCACCUCCUUAUAUAGGAUUGGAGGGUCGGAAUUGGAAGAGUCAAAUACAAAUGAAAUACAAGCUAAAUCAAAUGUGAAGCAUUUGGCGCCUAAUUUGAGACUUAACACAUGGAGCAUGUGAUGGAAAGCUUUUAAGCACAUGGAACAUGUGCUUUCUUCUCCAAGGCUUAGUCAUAACCGGCCUUGGUUAAUUUAGGUGUUCAAAAAACCCUAAUUUAACCAAGGUUGGUUUUUAGGUACCAAAAUUCACCUAAAAAGAAAUUACAAGUAAAAUUUCCUAUUCUACUUUAACAAAAUUAAAUCCUACUUCUACACUAGAGUUUAUGGCAUUUUAAACAUGUAGAAGAAGGUUUCUCUGCCAUCAGUAUCAGUAUUCCAAUCUUGUUGAUCCUUCUUGGUCAUGGCUCUAGUGGUAAGUCGAGGUCUUCUCUUUGUUGGACUUGCACUUGGACUUGUCCUUAGGCCUCUUCCAUCAAAAUUAAUAAUAAAAUAAAAUUUUAAUACAAAAUAUUUAGUUAUUUAUAAUAAACAAAUUAAUGGUUAUAAAUAUAAUAAUAUUAUUUACAUUUAAUAUAAAAUUAUUUUCUAAUUAUAAUUUUUAUAUAAGAAUAUUUAAAUUAUUUAUUUCUACAUAAUAGUUUAUAACUUUUACAUAUAUUCAUAAUUUUUCGUGUAAAUUAUUUUUUGUCAAGUAACUCGUAUUUUUUUUCGAAAAUAAUUAUUCAAUGUUAUUGGAAAUAACUUACAUAAUUUUAAUUAACCUAAAUCUACAUAAAAAUACAUAAUAUUUGGUUAUUCUAUUUUUUUGAAACAAUGGUAAAUUUAUAAUCUUAUAAUUUACAUCUUUCAGAAAAUCAAAAUACCCUCACAACAAUGACAUCACUCACAAACUUCAAUAGAUUUUUUUCACAAAUUCACUCUAGCAUACUCCAAUCUAAACACAACGACUUUCUUCAUACUUUUCUCUCAAAUCUUUACACAUUCACUCUCUCAAAUCCUCACACUUCCCCUCCUCAAUUUAAACACAACUUAAAAAUUAUUGUUUUAAUUAGUUAACCAAUUGGACUAGAACUCGUGAGUAACAAACAUGGGUCUCAAUAGGCUGCAAUCACCAGGUAUUUUGUAACAGGAAAAAAGAGUGAUUUUGACUAAGAUAGAAAUUAAAGGAAAUAUUUUAUUUAUUAAUUUAUAAUAUAUAUAUAUAUAUAUAUAUAUAUAUAUAUAUAUAUAUAUAUAUAUAUAUAUAUUUAUUAUAUAUAUAUAUAUAUAUAUAUAUAUAUANNNNNNNNNNNNNNNNNNNNNNNNNNNNNNNNNNNNNNNNNNNNNNNNNNNNNNNNNNNNNNNNNNNNNNNNNNNNNNNNNNNNNNNNNNNNNNNNNNNNNNNNNNNNNNNNNNNNNNNNNNNNNNNNNNNNNNNNNNNNNNNNNNNNNNNNNNNNNNNNNNNNNNNNNNNNNNNNNNNNNNNNNNNNNNNNNNNNNNNNNNNNNNNNNNNNNNNNNNNNNNNNNNNNNNNNNNNNNNNNNNNNNNNNNNNNNNNNNNNNNNNNNNNNNNNNNNNNNNNNNNNNNNNNNNNNNNNNNNNNNNNNNNNNNNNNNNNNNNNNNNNNNNNNNNNNNNNNNNNNNNNNNNNNNNNNNNNNNNNNNNNNNNNNNNNNNNNNNNNNNNNNNNNNNNNNNNNNNNNNNNNNNNNNNNNNNNNNNNNNNNNNNNNNNNNNNNNNNNNNNNNNNNNNNNNNNNNNNNNNNNNNNNNNNNNNNNNNNNNNNNNNNNNNNNNNNNNNNAAUUUUAUUAAUAUUAUUUAAAUUAAUAACAUUAUUAAUUAUUGCAAUAAUGUUAUUAAUAUUAUUAACAUUAUUAAAUAUUAUUAAUAUUAUUAAUUAUUAAUAACAUUAUUAAUUAUUACAAUAAUUUUAUUAAUAUUACUAACAUUAUUAAAUAUUAUUAAUAUUAUUAAUUAUUAAUAACAUUAUUAAUUAUUACAAUAAUCUUAUUAAUAUUACUAACAAUAUUACAAUAAUUUUAUUUUUAAGUAAUUCAUAUGAAAUGACAAAAUAUUCUAUUGUAUUAAUAAAAUGAAAUAUAUUAUAUAAGGGUAGAAUCGAAAAGGUUUGUAAACAUCAAAAAAAGGUUAUAAUAAUGGACAAUUCACUUUAUAUAUAGGUAUAAAUUAUUAUUAUUAUUAUUAUUAUUAUUAAUAUUAUUAAAUAUUAUUAAUAUUGUUAAUAUUGUUAAUAUUAUUAAUAUUAUUAAUUGUAUUAAAUAUUAUUAAUAUUAUUAAAUAUUAUUAAUAUCAUAAAAUAUUAUUAAUAUCAUAAAAUAUUAUUAAUAUCAUUAAAUAUUAUUAAUAUCAUUAAAUAUUAUUAAUAUCGUUAAAUAUUAAUAAUAUGAUGAAAUAUUAAAAAUAAUAUUAAAUAUUACUAAUAUUUUUAAAUAUUACUAAUAUUUUUAAAUAUUACUAAUAUUUUUAAAUAUUACUAAUAUUUUUAAAUAUUACUAAUAUUUUUAAAUAUUACUAAUAUUUUUAAAUAUUACUAAUAUUUUUAAAUAUUACUAAUAUUUUUAAAUAUUACUAAUAUUUUUAAAUAUUACUAAUAUUUUUAAAUAUUACUAAUAUUUUUAAAUAUUACUAAUAUUAUUAAAUAUUACUAAUAUUAUUAAAUAUUAUUAAGUAUUACUAAUAUUAUUAAAUAUUAUUAGUAUUAUUAAUAUUAUAAAUACAUUAAUGAUAUUAAUAUUAUUUAUAUUAUUAAUAUUAUAAAUAUAUUAGUGCUAUUAAUAUUUUUUUAUUAAUAUUAUUAUUACUAAUAUUAUUAAUUUUAUUCAUGUUAUUAAUAUCAUUAAUAAGAUUAAUAUUACUAAUACUAUUAAUAUUAUUAGUAACUAGCGGGAACACAGGCACUCACGUGCCUGUAUAUCCGCAUUUUUCAUUUUUACUAUUUAUAUAUUCAUAUAAUUUUAAUAAAUAUUAAAUUAUAUGAGAAGAUGUGUAAAUUAUCUAAAUGCAUCAUUGAUAAUAGUUUUAUUAAGAUUUGAUGUUAAUUUUUUAUAUUUUCAUUUUAUUGUUUUUGAAUAUUAAAUUUUGAUUUAACUUGGGUGUAAUCUUGAACUUUGUAAGGUUAUCAAGAUUAAAAUUAAGGUUUAAAAAAAUGGACCAGCAAACAAUGUCAAAACAUAAUGCAAAUGGUUGUAUGUUGGAAGUUGUAGAAUCUAUCACCAUAUCAAUUGAAUUCACAUCUUCCAUGGCAAAGAAGUGGAAAAAAAAUAAAAUAAUAAACUAAAUACAAAUUACCAAACUUCCAACUUAUGUAAUAUCUAAUAGAUCAAAGCACCAGUAGACAUAAAAACUUUGCCCGCAAAGCUGGGCUUAGGAUUCAUACAAAAAUAUAAAAUAAUUAAGAAAGCAAUAGAAACAAAAAUGUUCAAAUCCUAUAACAAUGAGACACGUCUCUGCUUCGAACGCUUUGGGAAGUGCGAGAAGGAGGAAGCAAUGGUGGUUGUUGUUGUACAGUGGUGAUUGAAGAGGGACUAAGAUGGGUGAGAGUAGGAGAAGAACAUGGAGCGUGAAGGAAGAAGGUUCAAAAUGUGUCAAAAUUUAUGAGCAUUUUUUUUUUGGAUGUAACGGGUGAAAACUACUCCUUAUAAGGAAGUGGAAGAAAGUGGGAUAACCGCUCAACUACUCCUUAUAAGGGAGUGAAUGUAACGGGUGAAAACUACUCCUUCACAAGAAAGUGGAUGUAAAUGGUGACGGUGAAAACUACUGAAGAAAGUGGUAACCGCUCAGUAAUAAUCAAAUUGUUGUCACUGCUCACAUUUCCUAAUAUUUAUUUCUCUCUCAUAAAACAAACACUCCCUCUCAUUAUGCAAUUAAUUUUCAAAAUAAAUUAUCUCUUUCAAUUCAAACGGUUGCUCCAUUUAUUUCAAAUAUUUUAUUAAAUUUAUUUCUCUCUCAUACAACAAACACUCUCUCAUUAUGCAAUUAAUUUUCAAAAUAAAUUAUCUCUUUCAAUUCAUAACCACUCCUCCACCUCUCUCUCAAUUCAUAACCGUUCCUCCACCUCUCUUUCAAUUCAUAACUGUUCCUCCACAUCUCUUUCAAUUCAAAACCGCUUUUCCACCUCUCUUUCAAUUCAAAACCGUCCCACUACGUAUACCAAAUAUUGUAGAAAAAAUAAGAAAGGGACCAUAAUACAAUAAUAAAAUUAAAUAUUAAUAUAAGGAUAAAAUGGGAAAAAAAUUAAGAGCAGUUAAGAGGGGAAUAAGAAAUGACACAAUGACCAUAAUACAAUAAUAAAAUUAAAUAUUAAUAUAAGGAUAAAACAGGAAAAAAAAUUAAGAGCAAUUAAGAGGGGAAUCCCCUUUAUAUAUAGGUAUAGAUAAUAUUAUUCAUAUUAUUUAUAUUAUUAAUAUAAUACUAAUAAUAUUAUAUAUAUUAUUUUAUUUAUUAUUAUUAAUUUUAUAAUAUUAAUGGUUCUCGUCGGUUGAUUUUUUCACCAGUUGACUUUUUGUCGGUUGACUCUGGUGAUAAGCUUUAGCUCCGGUCUGUCUUCUCUGUGCUAGACUUUAAACUAGAGGGGGGAUGAAUGUUUUAAAGAGGGUUUUCGCAAACUUUUAAGUAUAGAAUGAAAUUACUUUGAGAAAACUUGAUUAAGAAUUCAGUUUGUCAAAAACACAAAGCAAUUUAGCACAACACUAGAAAAACAUUCGGUUGUUUCGCAGAAACAAUCGGUUGUUUAUACUAGUUCACAAAUAUAAACUGAAAUUAAAGAUUUCAAGGGUUCGAGAGAUUGCACACACAGGUUUAUACUGGUUCACUCUUAAACCAAGAGCUACAUCCAGUCUUCCCAGAAACCACUGGGGAAUCCACUAAGCAAUCAACCCUAGAUUACUUACAACACCACCAAAGAAGUGACCUUGAUCCCCUCAAGACACACACUUCCUUUGGCUCAGCACAAACACCACCAAGAAUGCUGAUCUUGACAACCUCAAGAGCACACAACACUUCUUAGCUUCACACACAGAGUUUACAGAAGGUACAAAAGGAUUACACUUGUUACAGAAAAGAUCUGAAAUCAAUACAAGAUGAAAAUCCUAUAUCACACUCUCUUGAUCAAAGCAAUCUUCAACUCUUCAAAAGAAAAACCAGUGAAAAACUUCAAAACCUUAUUGUACUGGACCAGAGCACUGGGCUCGGUGCUUAGGUGAUCGGACAUCGGCACCUGUGUGGAGCAGGUUAGCUUGGUGAUCUGGUCGAGUUAAUGGGCCAGUGGAACCCAAGAAUGCGUGUGUUAAAACCCGUAUAUAUGUAAGGCCUAAUCAGCGAGAAAGUGCAUGUGGUGUGUAUUUGGGUCUAGCACAAGUAAAUAUCCCCUAAAGACGCCUAGGCCCAAGAGCGCUAGGGUUUUCAGGGGUAAGCUGCAUGCAUGAUACGUAAAGGUUAGAGCGCCUACAGUGACAGAUGGGCCCCAUGAUGCUGGUAUAUGAGUUGGUACCCUGACAGCCAUGUUGUUAAGAUUAUGCACUCCAAAGAGGAAGAUUUUGCGCGAUUGUUACACUAAGAUUGUGUGACAUUAUAACAGAAUGCCCUCCCAUCAUACCUGCUUUCACUUGAGAUAAAGUCUCGUGAGAGAAGGGUUGUUACAAUGAAGUAACCUAAAAGUAGUCUAUAAAAGGGACUCGAGAUCCCUAGUAAAGGUACACCGUUUCUAAUGAAACUACUUGCUUACUUACUCAUUGUUUCUUAGCCCAGUACUGAAUUGAUUGUCGGAGUGCAAUCAACAGGUAGGGCCCCCUCUGUUUCAAAUGGAGCCGCAUUCCAACGUCCCCGGGAAAGAGCAAAUCCAGCAGAGGCAAACAGAGUCACAACCUACUCUCAGAGUCAACCGACUACUAGGUCAACCCACAAGAACAUUUGGCACCCACCGUGGGGCCUGAUAAAACUAGGUCCCAUCCACAGUUGUGAUCAGAGCUAUCAGGCGAUAUGAGGAAUACAAGACAAGGCACCGCUGGACAGGAAGAAGGCGACAACGUUACCAUGCAAUAACUCAUGGAAACUAUCCACACUCUUCAGUAGACAGUGGAGGCAUCCAAGGCUGAUUAGGAAAGGGUUUUGGUUGAGGUUCGAGCUAAGCAGGCACUUAGGAAAGACCAAUUCAGGGUCGAGUUGGAUGCGUCGCGGACAGACAACGAAGAUUUACGCAUGGCCAAUAGGAUUUGCGGAGAGAUUUGCAAUGCUUAGGGGAACACACGGUAGGGGAGCAAAACCCGCCUAUCCCAGUCAGGGCUUGCCCCAUGCCAUUCUCCCAAGCGAUCAUGAAUGUCGUGAUACCUACCAAUUUCAUGACCCCAAAAAUCACUUUCACAGGUACUGAAGACCUGGAGGCCCACAUCACAACUUUCCACACUCAGAUGAUGAUCUCGGGAGGAACAGACGCCAUGCAUUGCAAGUUAUUUAUGGGAACGUUCGUAGGCAGAACAUUGGAUUGGUUCAUCAGUCUCCCCGAUGGACACAUCACCUCGUUUGAUCAAUUCUCUACAUUUUUCAGGGAGCAGUUCAUUGUCAACAGUGCUCCACCCCCUGUCUCUUUCGACCUCUUUGAUGUGAAGCAAUACCAGGGAGAGCCCCUUAAGGACUUCCUGAAUCGGUUUGGGGCGCUGGUUGUAAAACUACCAAGGAUGAAGCUAUGAUGGUGCAUGCCUUCAGGCGGGGAAUUUUGUCAGGGCCCUUCAGCGACUCUUUAAUAACGUGUCAACCAAAGACGUUUAGCGAGAUUCGGCACCGAGUUGUUGCUCACAUCUGCACAGAGGAAUAGGAAACAAAAAAACGUGGAAGCGUUGGACCGACAAGACCUCGGGAGAGCGGUCGUGCUCAACCCAUAAGUGAUGGAGAUCAAGAUCAAGACCAAAUGUAGGCCAAUACUCAAGGACAAGAAGAGGAAGAGGCUCAAGUGUUAGACGCUCAAAGAGUUGGUAGCCCACCUCAAAGGCUUACAAGAAGUCAAUUCAAGGCAUUAGGAAAUAAUGGAAUGUUGUUUUCUCUUUUUGUAAUAUCUUUGUGUUAGAAGGUGCUUAGAGGGAAACAUAAGACACCUCUUUUGUAAAAGCAUCUUUAGGUCUUUAGUUUAGGAAAAAAAUAGGAAGCUUGGGGGGUGUGAGCUUAGUAGAGGGGUGUAGGCGUAAUAGGGAGGUGCCAAACUAAGAAAAGAAGUCACACCUUCCUCAUGCUCUAAGUUGGCGCCACUUUUAUGUCAUUUGGGGGGUAAUUUGAGUUUAAUUAGCUUUUCAUUUCAGCACCUCUUAGGCUAUAAAUAAAGGUGUUUGCCUUUGUAAAAUUCAGAUUGGAAAUUGGAAUUAGAGAAACUCUACUCAAUUUGAGAGAGAAUUGUGAGAACUUGUCUUCUCCUUCACCUUGUCUUAUCUUGAGUGCAUUUGGUUCUCUCAAGUGGCGGCACUAGCUCACUUAUCUUGGAGCCUUCACCAUCCAAUUGGUGUGAUCAUCAAACCAAGUCCUUCAUCUCCAUAAGUUCUUCUUUCUUUCAUCUCCUAGCUCAUUUGAAUCUAAAACAUGUCUUAGUUUACUUUUCUAGCAUUUUCAUUCGGUAUUCUAGCUUGUUUCUGAAUUUGCUUCGGUUCAUCUUCUCCUUGGCUGUUCCUAUUUGAUUCUUCUUCAUUUCUUGCAUUUUGUUCGGUUCAAUUUCAGCAUUGUAGCUUUCUAUUCGGUCCUUUUUCUUUUAUACACAAUUUAAUCGGUUCAAUUGGCAAUAGAUGGAUCUUCCAUAUGAGUUUGGUGUUUGGUGCAAGUUUUGGUGAGUUCUUAAAACAUAGAACAUUGAUCCAAUUCUAUUAAAAGUGCCUAAGCUAUCUCCAACUCAAGUUGAUUCCAUAGAAUGUCAAAGAAUCAUCUCUAUUUGGCUAGUGGAAUCAUAUCAUGUGGUAUCUAGAAUUUAGGUUUGUUCUUGUUUAAUUUUGAGUUGUGUUGCACUUUAAUUCAAGAGCUCUAUAAUUCUUGUUGUUUACCUUUCUGUUUUUAGGCUUAUUUUGAGUUUUAUUGCUGUUUUCUUAAUUGUGCCUAUCAUGUGUUUGUGUAUUUUCCUUUUUGAAUCCAUACAAGUUUUGUCAUAGUCAUGUUUUUCCAAGAAUGUCAUCACUUCUUGUAGUACUUUUAUUGAAUUUUUUGUUUCUUGCUUUGGUGUAAUACAGUUUUCUGAGUUUGAUACUUGAUCCUUUGUGCAUUUUCUGUUUUAGUUUUGAGUUCAUACUUGUAUUUUAGAUCUAUACAAGUUCCUAUACAUCAUUUCCAUUAUGUCUUUGCUAGUUCUUAAUUCUGUUUUUCAUUCCUGUUAGGAUUCCUCUGUUUUUCUGAAAACGUGCUCACUGUUUCGAUUUAUUGCAAUUGAUUUACUCACUGGAAAUUUCUGAAAUUAUGGAUUUGUGUUCUUUAAAGUGUUAUAAAAGAGUAGAAAAAAGAAGUACUUAAAAAUUCCAAGUACAAAAAAAAUGAUAAAUCAAAAACAAAAAGUAACCGCCCAAACAUGCGCCCUACGAGCCGAAAAAGCAUUAGACUAGGGCAUGAGCGAAGGGAGACAUGCCUUGUCGACACAAGUUCAGAAUAAAACUCAAGGAGCUUAUCGCUAUCCCAGACGUGGCCGACAAGCUAAAGCCACCCCCAAAGAGUGACAAGAGAUUGGGGCCAAGCAGGGGCACCUGGUGCGAGUUCCACAAGGCCUUUGGGCAUGACUUGCAAAACUAUUUGGCACUUGGAUACUAAUUGGCUAAUUUGGUGAAGAAUGGAUUCCUGAAGGAAUACUUAGAGGAAGGUCAUGAAGCCUCAACGGUGGUGACCUUAGCAGGGAUCAGGGACACAAAGUACCAUUCCAUGGCGAGGUUAACACGAUCUUUGGGGGGUUUCUCAUGAGGAGGAUGCACCACCUCCCAGCGAAAGAAGUAUGUUAUAAGGGUGAUGGCAAUAGAAGCACGGGAACCUGACCAGUCACCUGAGCCCGACCUCUACUUCACGAAGGCUGAUUUACAGGAUGUGGUCCCACAUGAUAAUGACCCAGUGGUAAUUUCAGUGGUGAUAGUAGGGAGAAGGGUACACCGAGUCCUCAUCGACCAAGGGAGCUCGACAUAUGUAAUGUUUUGGUCGACCUUCAACAAAUUGGAGUUGUCGCCCGACCAACUGAGACCUUAUGACGGCUGUUUGUACGGUUUUGCUGGAGACCAGGUAAAAGUAAGUGGGCACGUGGAGCUAAGGACGACCUUCACAGACAACACCACGUCCCGCACCGUCAAUAUCAGGUACCUUGUCAUCAACUUACAACAUCCUUUUGGGAAGACCUACCCUGAAUAGGAUAUGAGCGGUGGCCUCAACGAGGCAUAUGAAGAUGAAGUUGCCUUCCCUCGAGGAAACGAUAAUUACCAUUAAGUCUGACCAAAAGGCGGGAAAUAAAUGCUAUGUGAAUAGCUUGAAGACGAACAUAGAGGUGUGCUCGAUCACCAGCCAGCCUUAGGAGGGAGAAGGGAUCACCCGUGUAGAGAUGGGUUGGGAGAGGCGACCUAAGCCUGUAGGUGAGGUGCUGGAAAGGGAGAUCGGGAGAAAGAAGUUUAAGCUUGGCAAAUCUUUAGGCCAGGAAAUACAGGACCAGAUCGCCGAGGUAAUAACACGACAUUUGGACGCCUUUGCGUGGUGUGCCUUGGACAUGCCCGACAUCGACCCUGAUUUCCUAUGCCAUCAUCUCACGAUGGAUCCAAAGGUCAAGCCUGUUUGCUAGAGGCAGAGGAAGUUCAAUGACGAAAGAUGCCUGGUCAUGAGGCAAGAGACCUAGAAGCUGCUGAGUGCGCCACAUAACGGAGAUCCAAUACCCUGAGUGGUUAGCAAACAUGGUGUUGGUCAAGAAGACCAACGAAAAGUGGAGGAUGUGCGUCGAUUUUACGGAUUUGAACAAGGCUUGUCCAAAGUAUUCAUAUCCGUUGCCCAACAUUGACACACUAGUGGAUAACGCGUCAGGUUGCAAACUUCUCAGUUUUCUGGAUGCCUUCUCAGGAUAUAACCAAAUUCGGAUGCAUCCCCAAGACGAAUGCAAGAAAACAUUCAUGACAGAGCUCUCCAGCUAUUGUUAUACGGUGAUGCCCUUUGGGCUAAAAAAUGUCGACGCGACCUAUUAGAGGCUGAUGGACAGGGUUUUCGCCCCUAUGAUAGGGCAAAACGUGCAGGCAUAUGUGGAUGAUAUGAUCAUCACCUCCCAGGAGAAGGACCAACACAUUGCCGACUUAGAGGAGCUAUUCACCACAAUAGCCAGGUAUAAAUUGAAGUUAAAACCCGAAAAGUGCGUAUUCGGGGUAGAGGCAGGGAAUUUCUUAUGAUUCCUCCUCACCGAGUGGGGAAUAAAGGCGAACCCCGAGAAAUGUGCGACGAUCAUAGCUAUGAGAAGCCUGACCUCGGUGAAGGAGGUACAACAAUUGACGGGGCGAAUGGCCGCUCUGUCCCGAUUUGUAUCUGCAGGAGGAGAUAGAGGGCAUCCCUAUCUCCUGUGUUUGAAGAGGGACAACCGAUUUGUGUGGACAAACGAGUGUGAAGAAUCGUUCCUCAAGCUGAAGAAGUACCUGUCCAGCCCGCCAGUUCUGUGCAAGCCGCUGCCAGGUACUCCCCUCCGUCUGUACUUUGCUAUUACAGAACGAGCGAUCAUAGUCCAGGAGCAGGAUUGCAUCCAAAGGCCUAUAUAUUUUGUUAGCAAAGUGCAGCAGGGGCCCGAAGUGCGCUAUCAGGCCAUUGAGAAGGCGGCUCUAGCAGUAGUAUUUGCAGCACGAAGGCUUCGCUACUAUUUCUAGAGCUUCACGGUGAUCGUGAUGAUCGACCUUCCCAUCCGUAAGGUCUUGCAGAAACCUGACGUGGCGGGACGGAUGGUGUGCUGGGCGGUCGAGCUGUCAGAGUUUGAUUUGCAGUAUGAGACGAGAGGACCUAUCAAGGGUCAAGUUUAUGUUGACUUCUUGGUAGAACUCUCCUUGGCAACCACACACCAAGACAAUGGAGAUUUCCAAUGGGUCCUUUCUGUGGACGGGUCCUCUGAGCAGUGAGGCUGGUAUCAUCCAUGAGGGACAAAACGGGCUACUAAUCAAGCAGGCCCUACGAUUUGCUUUCAACUCUAGCAACAACCAAGCUGAAUAUGAGGCCUUGGUGGCAGGAAUGUUGCUAGCCAAAGAGAUGGCUGCCCGAAGUUUGUUAGUGAAGAGUGACUCACUACUGGUAGUCGGGAAAGUU